This 207-nucleotide ribosomal RNA is filed under the name uncultured bacterium. RNAcentral describes it as "partial 16S ribosomal RNA". It matches the Rfam family "Bacterial small subunit ribosomal RNA", at positions 568 to 774 of the family's 1533-position model. The record is from RNAcentral.
UGUGUAGGCGGCUACGUAAGUCGGAUGUGAAAGCCCCGGGCUCAACCUGGGAAGUGCACUCGAUACUGCGUAGCUUGAGUCUCGGAGAGGUUGGUGGAAUUCUCGGUGUAGAGGUGAAAUUCGUAGAUAUCGAGAGGAACACCGGUGGCGAAGGCGGCCAACUGGACGAAGACUGACGCUGAGACACGAAAGCGUGGGGAGCAAACA